This 446-nucleotide long non-coding RNA is filed under the name Homo sapiens (human). RNAcentral describes it as "HSALNT0115408". The record is from RNAcentral. Lineage: Eukaryota; Metazoa; Chordata; Mammalia; Primates; Hominidae.
CCUUGAUGUUCUACACACGUGGGGAUAUGUGAGGUCGGCCAUGCUGCCAGGCACACCACGGGGCAAGGGCAAGAGGACAUGUGGGAAUCUCCAUGUUGGGUGGACCCAGUUUCUAAUGGCCUGCAUUUGCAUAUCAAAGGUUGCCAGCCCAGUUCUAAGAGCCGGGCUUUCCUGUUAGACAAGAAACGUUUCUGGAGCUGCUUUAAAAGGGACGAAAACUUUCCAAGGACCUCUUUUCCUCUCUAUCUGCCUAAAAUAAUUUCUCAACAACACCUACAGCAGUCACAGCACACCUGGGUCAAUUGGACACAGGAAAAAGAGCCAAAAGGAGGAAGAAAGAUGAAAAAGGAGGAAGCUUGGGAAAUUCACACACUCUAUUAAAAGAUCCGGAACUGAUUUAGCCUGGCAAACUUCCUGCGUGUUUUGUUCAUUGCACUCUAUUCAGA